UACGAAGGGGGCUAGCGUUGCUCGGAAUUACUGGGCGUAAAGCGCACGUAGGCGGUCCUUUAAGUCGGGGGUGAAAUCCUGGAGCUCAACUCCAGAACUGCCUUCGAUACUGGAAGACUUGAGUCCGGGAGAGGUGAGUGGAACUGCGAGUGUAGAGGUGAAAUUCGUAGAUAUUCGCAAGAACACCAGUGGCGAAGGCGGCUCACUGGCCCGGUACUGACGCUGAGACGCGAAAGCGUGGGGAGCGAACAGG
This 253-nucleotide ribosomal RNA is filed under the name uncultured bacterium. Its description in RNAcentral is "partial 16S ribosomal RNA". It matches the Rfam family "Bacterial small subunit ribosomal RNA", at positions 524 to 776 of the family's 1533-position model. The record is from RNAcentral.